UCCGAGUUGACCCCGGCAGUCUCCUAUGAGUCCCCACCAUCACGUGCUGGCAACAUAGAACGAGGGUUGCGCUCGUUGCGGGACUUAACCCAACAUCUCACGACACGAGCUGACGACAGCCAUGCAGCACCUGUGCACGGACUCCGAAGAGGAACCGAUGUUUCCACCGGCUUUCCCGUGCAUGUCAAGCCCAGGUAAGGUUCUUCGCGUUGCUUCGAAUUAAGCCACAUACUCCACCGCUUGUGCAGGCCCCCGUCAAUUUCUUUGAGUUUCAACCUUGCGGUCGUACUUCCCAGGUGGGAUACUUAAUGCUUUCGCUCAGACACACACUGUGUAUCGCGUAUGUCGAGUAUCCAUCGUUUAGGGCGUGGACUAC
RNAcentral lists this unclassified non-coding RNA (376 nucleotides) under uncultured bacterium. Its description in RNAcentral is "contains 16S-23S intergenic spacer region". The record is from RNAcentral.